Molecule: non-coding RNA, 185 nt
Filed under: Felis catus (domestic cat)
Lineage: Eukaryota; Metazoa; Chordata; Mammalia; Carnivora; Felidae
Also listed under: 2 other names
Description: Eukaryotic large subunit ribosomal RNA
Rfam family: Eukaryotic large subunit ribosomal RNA
Source: Rfam by way of RNAcentral
ACAUUAAACAAAAUAUCACAAAGGCCCUCAGCAGGUGUUGAUGCAAUGUGAUUUCUGCCCAGUACUCCAAAUGUCAAAGUGGAGAAAUUCAGUGAAGCCUGAGUACAACAGCAGGAAUAACUAUAACCCUCUUAAGGUAGCCAAAUGCCUCACCACCUAAUUAGUGCUCCACGUGAAUGAAUGAA